RNAcentral lists this ribosomal RNA (260 nucleotides) under uncultured bacterium. RNAcentral describes it as "partial 16S ribosomal RNA". It matches the Rfam family "Bacterial small subunit ribosomal RNA", at positions 524 to 783 of the family's 1533-position model. The record is from RNAcentral.
UACGUAGGGGGCAAGCGUUGCCCGGAUUUAUUGGGCGUAAAGAGCUCGUAGGCGGCCUGUUGCGUCCGCUGUGAAAACCCGGGGCUUAACCCCGGGCUUGCAGUGGAUACGGGCAGGCUGGAGGCAGGCAGGGGAGAACGGAAUUCCCGGUGGUAGCGGUGAAAUGCGCAGAUAUCGGGAGGAACACCGGUGGCGAAGGCGGUUCUCUGGGCCUGUACUGACGCUGAGGAGCGAAAGCGUGGGGAGCGAACAGGAUAGAU